UACGAAGGGGGCUAGCGUUGCUCGGAUUUACUGGGCGUAAAGCGCACGUAGGCGGCUCGUUAAGUCGGGGGUGAAAUCCUGGAGCUCAACUCCAGAACUGCCUUCGAUACUGGCGAUCUUGAGUCCGGAAGAGGUGAGUGGAAUUCCUAGUGUAGAGGUGGAAUUCGUAGAUAUUAGGAAGAACACCAGUGGCGAAGGCGGCUCACUGGUCCGGUACUGACGCUGAGGUGCGAAAGCGUGGGGAGCAAACAGG
This 253-nucleotide ribosomal RNA is filed under the name uncultured bacterium. Its description in RNAcentral is "partial 16S ribosomal RNA". It matches the Rfam family "Bacterial small subunit ribosomal RNA", at positions 524 to 776 of the family's 1533-position model. The record is from RNAcentral.